AAUCAGCUAUUCUUUCUUCUUCAUCUUUUGCCCAUAACAGAUGCGAGAGUCUCACUCACUCCAUAGAAACGCUUCAGUCUCCUUCCUUUCCAUCUAUGUUGUUCAAAAUCCAAAUGGGUUUUCAGGAAAUGAAGUUCUGGCAAUGAUUUCCUAGCUUUCCUGACAUUCAAAAAUGCUUUCUUUAAGGGAUUUUUGGAGAAGGCAUAGAAGGAAGGCUUUUGUUGUUGCUGGAGCUUUGGGAAGUGGGUAUUUUUUGUAUAGGAUUUAUGCUUCUCAUACGCAGAGAAUUUCUGAUUUGGAGACUCAAAUCGACAGCUAGCAUGAAAUCGAUGAGCUCAUUAAGGCCCAAUUAAGAUCAAAAUAUUAUAUAUCCUGUUGAAAUUCCAUUUUUCAUUCAUUUUUCAGCAAUGCUACUAUGAUGCAUUCAGUUCAUUUAGUUUUGUGAAGUGUGCCACCUGACAUCACUGUACACGUGGCACUUGGGAUGGUGAUUUACAUUGUUGGUUUGGUGCAUCAUCAUACGGAUGCACCAUAACCAGAAAAUCAAGAUGGGCCUAAUUUGUAGAAUCCCCCAUCAGGAGUAGGGAACAUAAGAUCAACGGUCUAGAUCACCAUACCAGGGGCCUAAUUUGUAGAAAUGGUUUGAUUGAAGCAUAGGCAUAGAAAUCAGGCCCAAGCCUUUCCAAUAUUGGGCCAUGCCAAAAUCCUGAUGGGUCAACUGUCCCUACCCGUUUUACCGGUCAGACCGUAACUCGUGUCCAUGCCCAUCAAAGUUUUAAGACUAGGUUGAGUGUCUUUGUGUGCAUUCUUUUAUUUGGGGCUGACCUUAACUCAUGCUCCUAACCAGCAUUGCUCAGUCAGUGAAUGUGGAUGGUCCAUCUGGUGGGCCACGCUGUUGAUGAGCUGUGGCAGAAAAAAAAAAAAAAAAGAAAAAAAAAACAUGCCUAGCCAUCAAGCACACGAACACUGAAAAUAGAAAAUGUAGGAUUCAUCAUUUUCAUAUUUCCUUUGUUUCGUGGGCCACUCUUGAUAGGCCCAGUAAAUGAACCAUCUAGAUUCAAGGACCCUACUCCAAUGUAGAAUUUGAAAUGGUGACUAAAUGGGAAGAUCUUAUUGUUGUUUCAUUUAGAGCCAUGCUAAUCAACCAUACACGUGGAAAAAGUGGGCCAUGUACACACUGAUUGGGCCACCCAACAAAAGCAACGGCUGCUAAUGAUAUUUUGGGCAAUAAGGAAUCCACCAUUGAUCCGUUGGCAUAUGAAUUAGAUAUCAUGUCAUGAAGUGGGCCCAUUUCACGUUUGUUGGCUGUUGCUGAAUAGGGGGAACAUUUGGAUGCUAGCACGAAAUUGCUGAGGCUAUUGUGGCACGAAAGGGCCCUCCUAUCAAUGGUCAGUCUACUGUUCAGCUCCAAACAAGCUAUUGAUUGUUGUGCAUCCAAUGAAUGCUUUCUUUCUGGACAGUAUUUUCAAUUGGAUCACCCUAUAAUACCAUUAAUUGGAUCAAGUGAGUUUCUUUUGAGUGUCAAGGAGAACAUGAAGAGGCCCAAAGGUCAUUAAUGAAGCUCUCAUAUGUGGGAACAUAGUCAAGUUUGUGCACCGAAAGGCCCUCAAGGAUUUUAGAUUUAAAGCUUUCUUCGGCCAUUGAAGAAAGAGAGAGACUAAGAAAGGAUGUUAUUGCAUGGAAGAAGUAGAAGAGUGGGGAAGCAGAGGGUGGAAA
Long non-coding RNA from Magnolia sinica, 1716 nucleotides. RefSeq lists it as uncharacterized. The record is from RefSeq and is a predicted model, not a curated record. NCBI's taxonomy places the organism in Eukaryota, Viridiplantae, Streptophyta, Magnoliopsida, Magnoliales, Magnoliaceae. The transcript is spliced from 5 exons.